AGGACGAACGCUGGCGGCGUGCUUAACACAUGCAAGUCGAGCGGAAAGGCCCUUCGGGGUACUCGAGCGGCGAACGGGUGAGUAACACGUGAGCAACCUGCCCUUAGCUUCGGGAUAGCUCCGGGAAACCGGAAUUAAUACCGAAUAUGACUGCGGCUGACAUCAGCCACGGUGGAAAGUUUUCGGCUAGGGAUGGACUCGCGGCCUAUCAGCUAGUUGGUGAGGUAACGGCCCACCAAGGCGACGACGGGUA
RNAcentral lists this ribosomal RNA (253 nucleotides) under uncultured bacterium. Its description in RNAcentral is "partial small subunit ribosomal RNA". It matches the Rfam family "Bacterial small subunit ribosomal RNA", at positions 26 to 285 of the family's 1533-position model. The record is from RNAcentral.